UACGUAGGUGACGAGCGUUAUCCGGAUUUAUUGGGCGUAAAGCGCACGCAGGCGGCAGAGAAAGUCUGACGUGAAAUCUCCCGGCUUAACUGGGAGCGGUCGUUGGAAACUACUUGGCUUGAGGCGAUGAGAGGGGUGUGGAACUCCCGGUGUAGUGGUGGAAUGCGUAGAUAUCGGGGGGAACAUCAGUGGCGAAAGCGGCACCCUGGCAUUAGCCUGACGCUCAUGUGCGAAAGCGUGGGGAGCGAACGGG
This 253-nucleotide ribosomal RNA is filed under the name uncultured bacterium. RNAcentral describes it as "partial 16S ribosomal RNA". It matches the Rfam family "Bacterial small subunit ribosomal RNA", at positions 524 to 776 of the family's 1533-position model. The record is from RNAcentral.